UAAACGACUCUCGGCAACGGAUAUCUCGGCUCUCGCAUCGAUGAAGAACGUAGCGAAAUGCGAUACUUGGUGUGAAUUGCAGAAUCCCGUGAACCAUCGAGUCUUUGAACGCAAGUUGCGCCCGAGGCCUCCUGGUCGAGGGCACGUCUGCCUGGGUGUCACGC
Molecule: ribosomal RNA, 164 nt
Filed under: Populus deltoides
Lineage: Eukaryota; Viridiplantae; Streptophyta; Magnoliopsida; Malpighiales; Salicaceae
Also listed under: 2 other names
Description: 5.8S ribosomal RNA
Rfam family: 5.8S ribosomal RNA
About the family: 5.8S ribosomal RNA (5.8S rRNA) is a component of the large subunit of the eukaryotic ribosome.
Source: RNAcentral